AAGUCGUAACAAGGUCUCCGUUGGUGAACCAGCGGAGGGAUCAUUACCGAGUUUACAACUCCCAAACCCCUGUGAACAUACCUAUCGUUGCUUCGGCGGAUCCGCCCCGGCGCCCUCGGGCCCGGAUCAGGCGCCCGCCGGAGACCCAAAACUCUUGUUUAACUAAAAGGCCUCUCUGAGUACUGUACUUUAAAUAAGUCAAAACUUUCAACAACGGAUCUCUUGGUUCUC
This 231-nucleotide unclassified non-coding RNA is filed under the name Fusicolla sp. RNAcentral describes it as "partial internal transcribed spacer region". The stretch from base 1 to 46 matches the Rfam family "Eukaryotic small subunit ribosomal RNA", at positions 1786 to 1831 of the family's 1831-position model. The record is from RNAcentral. Lineage: Eukaryota; Fungi; Ascomycota; Sordariomycetes; Hypocreales; Nectriaceae.